RNAcentral lists this unclassified non-coding RNA (367 nucleotides) under Hevea brasiliensis (rubber tree). The record is from RNAcentral. Lineage: Eukaryota; Viridiplantae; Streptophyta; Magnoliopsida; Malpighiales; Euphorbiaceae.
AUUCAGGGAUCGGGAAACGCGCAGAGAUAUAUUCCGGAAAACGGGUGUGGAAGCUCGUGGUGAAAGGCACCUUGUUCUUCUGGCAAUAGCGCCGCACCAGAAUCCCGAUCGGACCUUCGGUCGCGAUAUGGAUGUAGUCAGGCUGCGCCUCUUCGAUCAUGCGCGCAAUCUUGCCCGGCCGCGGCAGCGCCACAUGCAGGUCGGCGUAGCUCGGCAGUGAGAUUGUGCGAAACGAUUCCGGCGUCAGGAAUUCGACCUCAACGCCCAUCGACGCGGCCGCUUCCGCCAUCUUGGUCAGCGUCCGCACCACGCCGUUGACUUGCGGGUGCCACGCGUCGGUUGCGAUCAGAAUGCGCAUCAGGCGGCC